GAUGAACGCUGGCGGCGUGCCUAAUACAUGCAAGUCGAGCGAACAGACGAGGAGCUUGCUCCUCUGACGUUAGCGGCGGACGGGUGAGUAACACGUGGAUAACCUACCUAUAAGACUGGGAUAACUUCGGGAAACCGGAGCUAAUACCGGAUAAUAUGUUGAACCGCAUGGUUCAACAGUGAAGGACGGUCUUGCUGUCACUUAUAGAUGGAUCCGCGCCGCAUUAGCUAGUUGGUAAGGUAACGGCUUACCAAGGCAACGAUGCGUAGCCGACCUGAGAGGGUGAUCGGCCACACUGGAACUGAGACACGGUCCAGACUCCUACGGGAGGCAGCAGUAGGGAAUCUUCCGCAAUGGGCGAAAUCCUGACGGAGCAACGCCGCGUGAGUGAAGAAGGUCUUCGGAUCGUAAAACUCUGUUAUUAGGGAAGAACAAAUGUGUAAGUAACUAUGCACGUCUUGACGGUACCUAAUCAGAAAGCCACGGCUAACUACGUG
Molecule: ribosomal RNA, 497 nt
Filed under: uncultured bacterium
Lineage: Bacteria
Description: partial 16S ribosomal RNA
Rfam family: Bacterial small subunit ribosomal RNA
Source: RNAcentral